ACAGCCAUACCAUGCUGAAUAUACCGGUUCUCGUUAGAUCACCGAAGUCAAGCAUCAUUGGGCGCGGUCAGUACUUGGGUGGGUGACCACCUGGGAACACCGCGUG
RNAcentral lists this ribosomal RNA (106 nucleotides) under Caerostris extrusa. Lineage: Eukaryota; Metazoa; Arthropoda; Arachnida; Araneae; Araneidae. The record is from RNAcentral.